UACCGCAUACGACAUUUUAUGGCAUCAGAGAAUGUUAAAAGGUCCGUUUGGACCACUAAUGGAUGAGGGUGCGGCGUAUUAGUUAGUUGGUGGGGUAAUAGCCUACCAAGACAAUGAUACGUAGCCGAACUGAGAGGUUGAUCGGCCACAUCGGGACUGAGACACGGCCCGAACUCCUACGGGAGGCAGCAGUAGGGAAUUUUUCACAAUGGGCGAAAGCCUGAUGGAGCAAUGCCGCGUGACUGAAGAUGGUCUUCGGAUUGUAAAGGUCUGUUGUAAGGGAAGAACAGCAAGUAUAGGAAAUGAUACUUAUUUGACGGUACCUUACCAGAAAGCCACGGCUAACUAUGUGCCAGCAGCCGCGGUAAUACAUAGGUGGC
RNAcentral lists this ribosomal RNA (380 nucleotides) under Spiroplasma endosymbiont of Polydrusus inustus. RNAcentral describes it as "bacterial SSU rRNA". It matches the Rfam family "Bacterial small subunit ribosomal RNA", at positions 167 to 535 of the family's 1533-position model. Lineage: Bacteria; Bacillati; Mycoplasmatota; Mollicutes; Entomoplasmatales; Spiroplasmataceae. The record is from RNAcentral.